UCUCUACUUCAAAUAACAUGAAAUGUCCAACAGGAGUUAUGAGUUAGUGUAUAUUCCAUAUAUGUUAAUAGUGAAACAUCCUGUCUUAUGCAAGGCUAAAAAUUGUCCAUGUAUGCUUCUCAGAUUCAUAUACAUACUCUCUUCCAACAGCACAGCAUAGACCAAGAACUGGGUUUCAUAUGGAUGAAUUUAUUCUUCCUUUGAGGCAAGACAAGAAGGAAAGAAAGUAUUGGGACUACUGCUGUCCUCCCAUCCUCAAGGGCCAGUGGGAACUCUUAAUAUUGAAUUCCGUGGACUUUAACCAGUGACGCGCUAAUUUUGUCAUUUGUACCAGCUAACUCAUCUGGGAGGCAGCAAAACAGUAUUCUCCUGAGGUUAAUGUGGACGAAGAACUAGAUUUCAUGUAAAAGAGUUUAUUCCUUCUACUUGAGGUGUGACAUGAAGGAAAGUAAUGGAAAUAAUUCUGCCUUCCCAUUCUCAGGGGCCAGGGGGAAUUCUAAUAUUGAACGGAAGUGAUUUGGGAAUUGCAUGGAAUUCUCACUGCCAUCCCAAAGAAAUGCUGAUCUUGUCACUCUUACCUGUUCCGUUGCCUGGAGCAGAACAAAAGGAUGCACUUCAAAGGUAACAUCAAAGUUUGAAUAAAUUUACUUUUUAUGGCUUAUUUUGUAAUUUUUUCUGUAGUCAAGUAGGUAAUAGGUUUUGUGAAUGAUCUGUUAAUAACAGUGUGAGGCAUUAAUUAUCUGGUGAAUCAUCCGAAG
This 758-nucleotide long non-coding RNA is filed under the name Rhinopithecus bieti (black snub-nosed monkey). Its description in RNAcentral is "lncRNA (ENSRBIG00000045483.1)". Lineage: Eukaryota; Metazoa; Chordata; Mammalia; Primates; Cercopithecidae. The record is from RNAcentral.